UUGACCUCGGAUUAGCUAGGAAUACCCGCUGAACUUAAGCAUAUCAAUAAGCGGAGGA
This 58-nucleotide ribosomal RNA is filed under the name Hypoxylon cercidicola. Its description in RNAcentral is "partial 28S ribosomal RNA". It matches the Rfam family "Eukaryotic large subunit ribosomal RNA", at positions 1 to 57 of the family's 3401-position model. The record is from RNAcentral. Lineage: Eukaryota; Fungi; Ascomycota; Sordariomycetes; Xylariales; Hypoxylaceae.